This 477-nucleotide unclassified non-coding RNA is filed under the name Hevea brasiliensis (rubber tree). Lineage: Eukaryota; Viridiplantae; Streptophyta; Magnoliopsida; Malpighiales; Euphorbiaceae. The record is from RNAcentral.
AUAAAAUCAACUAUGCAGAAUAACACAAAUAUAUCCACAGACUCACACAUAGACAACAUGUAUCCGCCAUUAUUACCUACAUAACAAACCCCUCCACACUCAACACCACUAAAACUGUCAGAUCUACUCUCACACAAACCCUAAAAUCCAUCUACAGACCCCGAUCCACACAAUGCUAAACAAAAUAACAUAAAUCCAACCAGAAACGAAUAGAUCUGCAUGGGAUCUCUUACUGGCGGAGAGAUCCGAGGAAGGCGGCGGCGGAGACGAAGACGGCGGCGGCGAUGGGGGCGGAGAGCGCGGCUGCGCCGGAAGUGGGGCUGGGGGCGGGGGCGUCGGCAGCGAAGGCGACGCCGGCGAGGGAGGCGACGGCGACGGCGACGGUGGCCGUCAGGAGCACUGCGAGGGCUUUGGAUCCGAAUGCCAUUGCGAUCCGCUUUCUCUCUCGCUCCGAAUUGGAAUUCUGUGGAGAGAGAG